AGUUUUUUUUAUUAGUAACUUGCAAAUAAUUCAUAAGUAAACAUUAACGAAGCCGUAAACAGGAGUGAUGCAACAGAACAGUAUUGUAAAUAUAGUUCAAGAUGUUAAAUUUCACGCAUUCUGUAAGAAAAAACGGGCACAAUCGGAUAUAAAAUAAUGCGUGUUGUUAGUAAAUCCUGAUACUUACAAAUGUAAUAUUAGUGUAGGAAAGCUGUGAAAACAAGGAUAAACAUAGUAUUGUAUCUUGUUAUUAUAAUCUGUAGUAUUAGUACAAUGUUAGUUAAUAUUAUUUUUUUGAUUAAUUGUAAUAAUGGUAUAUCCUUUCGUCCGUCUCAAACGCUCAACGCUAACACAGGCAUGUGCUACAAUGUUCUUGUUUGCAAGAAAUGUGUUUCUUCGUACCGCAGAAGUGGAAAACGUUAUUCUUGAAUUGACUUAUCAAUAACUGACGAAGCUGACUCGAAUUUAUACUUAAUUCCUUAUAUCCGACCUUGAGAAAUUUACAGUUAAAGAGAAACAGCAUUACAUUCCGCAGAAAAAUAUUACGAUAAGCGUGAAGUCUAAGACGGGAUAUGAUGUGUGAACGGUGGCUAUCAGUUGUAUAUUGUAAAUUUAAAGGUUGGCAGUGUAAUUUGUAAUGUAUAAACUGACAACAUUAUUUACUUUUUGGCAUGAGACGCAGCUGGCUUUGGCAGUCUAAAGAUCACAUUUCAAUUCACGAAACAAUAUAAAUAUUACUUCUCACUUCUCGAGCCACCACAAUUCUGAUAUAGGUAAUUUGGAGACAGAUACUGAGAAUCGAAGGCGAUGCCUCUACAUUACCGGUUGAUGUUACUCUCUCCUGGCCUAAGAAGUAAGAAUGUGUUGGCUCGAACCAGUAGCGAAAAAAAUGUGUAUGACCGGCGUAAUGCAUCAUAAAUUCUUUAAACGUGAUGGUAACAUACCAUUAAAAAGUGAAGAUACGGGAUGCAUAAUUAUAAAGGAAGAAGAAAGGCAAUUUUCAAUUAACAUACCAUUAUACGACAAUAAAUCACUAAAGAGAGUCAAUGAAGUAAUUAAUAUGUAAUAAAAUACUUAAUAUGUAAUUCAGUAAUGUUUAAUACAAUUCUUUUGCGAUUUUAGUAUACGGAAUUAAAAAGAAGUAGUAACGACAUUAAUAUCAAUGCAGAGGAAUGUGUUGUCAAUUCUUGUUAAAAGAACGAUAUUUCGAAACUGGACUGGGAGUCCGUGUCCACUUUCUGAACGACUGAAGAACCACCCAAAGGCACAGUGAUCGCUUCAUUUGCCAGUGCCUUACGUAUUUCUUUCUGUAAAUUCUCUCUGUUUUGUUUAUCUCUGUUAACAGUAAGAAGGCAUAUCUUAGACAUAAAAUAACAGCACAGGUUGAUAGUCCUAUUAAAAUGUCUAGUAAAUCGAUGUGUGGAACUGGAGUAGGUUAACUUGUACAGGAGAGAGAAGGUUUUAGUUUUGAAAUGUAGCUUCGGAGUCAGUAUCAGUCGGGAAAGUCGAGAUAUAAGUAUUCUUUCUUCUGAGGAUGUAAAUGUCGAAUGAAUGAGAAAUACUGACAAUUAUAGAAUACAUUAACUAUGCCCUCAUGAAAGGGGUAAAAGAUUACACAUAUACUGACAUAGGAAUCUGAACUACGUUUACGGAUACUUUUACUCAUUGCAGGAAGAUUACAACUAUCGCGAACUAACAAGGAGACGGCACGAGCGUGGGGUCGGGGAUUUGUCCGAAAUUUUGUGUGGUGAAAGAGGACUCCUAACACCUCACGUGGUUAAAAUAUUAGGACGCACUACCCGGAAAAUCCUGGGAAAAUCGAUCCAAAGUUUCUUAAGUGCCUUAUGAGUAUAAAAUGUUAGUCCAUUGACGAGCCGCCGCCUGGCCUAGAAGUUUAGGGCUCGGACUCUUACGCCAGAGGUCUCGGGUUCUAUUCGUUCUCUGGCACUUUUUUUUCAGUUUCUUUUGUUAUUCCACCAAUUAUUCAGAAAGUUUCCCAAACCUACAUUAUCUUUAACAAAUUAGUUACAUUAUUGAAUAAAAAUUAUUUCCUUCUUGUCCAACAACGCAAUUCAUGGCGGUGGGUUUUUCAUUUUUCAUUUUAAAGUAUAUAAGGAGAAUCAUUGGGUUUUUAAUCAGAAUAACAAAAUAGAUUGGGAAACAUUCAAUUUUUAUACAUAUAAUAAUUAUAAACAAGAACCGCAGUGGUAAUUAUCGUAAAAACAAACAAAGCAAUAAUUUUUGCGACAUCUUGCGCAACAUAUAAAAGCGGAUUUUAUACAAUCACAGGGCGUUUGCAAUAAAUCGGUACAAAAAUAUGCCCCAUUAACAUUUACGAAAAUGUUUUGAGUUUCUGACAAUUUUGAAGCAAACCAGGCAUAUUGAAUCAUGUCACGGAAUAUUGGUGACGACAACUGACGGUGAAUUAUAGAAUGAAUUUUUAUACAAUCUUCCCGGGAAUUGAUUUCACGAUUCUCCUGUAACAAUGCGCUGCAAUUUUGCAAGCAACAGGAGAAAAAAAAUUGCCGGAGGAGGAAUCGAUCCCGAGACCUCUUGGGUAAGGGUCCGAACGCUAACUAUGUAGGCCAGACGGCGGCUCGGCAGUGGACUAACAUUUUACACUCAUAAGGCACCUAAGAAACUUUGGAUCGAUUUUUCUCGGGAUUUUCCGAGUAGUGCGUCCUAACAUUUUAACCACGUGAGGUGUUAGGAGUUCUCUUUCACCACACAAAAUUUCGGACCAAUCCCGGACCCCACGGUGGUGCCGUCUCCUUGUAAGAGAAACAAUAUCCAGAUAACGCACAACGUCAUUUCCUUUUCGGAAAUUACUCCGUACGACGGUGAAGUGUGUUGUCACUGGAGAACCGUUGAAUCUUAAGUCAUAUAUUCAGUCAUAAUUCGUACCAAUUUCUCGAGUCAAGCAGUUUUACAGUUUGAUGAAAACUCAUUCGCUCCAAAUCUGCUGUAUUUGUUUUUGGAAAAAAGCCAAAAUUUUACCGAAGCAGGAGAGUCUCUCUCCCUCUCUCUCUCGCUCUUUUUCUCUCACCUUCACACCAUUGCACAUUGCUGCACAUUGGUAACUCUCGAAACGCCGUCUCUGAAAUGUAAGUGGAAGUGAGGGAUCCCUUCGUGUGUGCGAGGGAAGGUAGAAGCUGAAUGUUGAUUUGCGGUGAAGCUUUGGUAGCGUGGCAGCACAUAUGACAGAUAAGUUGAUAUUAUCAGGGAAGCAGGUGUAAGCUACAAGGAAAAACGGCUAAUACAUAAUAUGUACUUGA
Long non-coding RNA from Schistocerca cancellata (South American locust), 3275 nucleotides. RefSeq lists it as uncharacterized. Lineage: Eukaryota; Metazoa; Arthropoda; Insecta; Orthoptera; Acrididae. The transcript is spliced from 2 exons. The record is from RefSeq and is a predicted model, not a curated record.